RNAcentral lists this small nuclear RNA (104 nucleotides) under Procavia capensis (Cape rock hyrax). Lineage: Eukaryota; Metazoa; Chordata; Mammalia; Hyracoidea; Procaviidae. The record is from RNAcentral.
GUUUAUCAGAAAGUGUAUCUGUGCUAACUUCAGAAGCACAGUGAAGACUAGCCUGGCCACUGCACAAGCAUGACAUGCAAAUAUGUGAAGCACUUUAUAUUUUU